AUAUAUAUAUACCUAGGGCCUUUCAGUUUAUCAACACUGCUUGGAGGUUGCAGAUAAUAUCUACUUUGCUAGAAGGGAUAUUGCAAUAACAUCACACAAGCGUCAACAAGAGUCAACGACUGUAAUUCACUAUGCUGGCCAAGUGGACAAUGUCAGAUGAAGAAGGAUUCACCACGACAAAGAGGGACACUGCCGCCAGAGAGAGAUGGUUGUAUGAAAGAGUUAUUGAGACAAAGGACUUUUGACCUUGCUACAAAUGUUAUUUUCAUUAAUACUAGUUAGAGACUGUUUCGGUUUUGGUAUUGAAGUACUUUUCAGGUAGUGAAUACCCAGGAAGAGAUAAAUGUAACAAAAAGACUUACAUUAUAGCGGAGAGAAAGAAAGAUAGUUUUACCUGUUGGUUCCAAUAACACAGUUUUACCUAUUGUAUCACAUAAAGAGUUUGCAGAAGGUAUUUCCACUGGAUUGAGUUGAAAUAUUAAAGAAUAUGUGAAAUUAUCAGUAGCAAAUGAAAUUUAAAGCAAUGGCUUAGA
Molecule: long non-coding RNA, 533 nt
Filed under: Limulus polyphemus (Atlantic horseshoe crab)
Lineage: Eukaryota; Metazoa; Arthropoda; Merostomata; Xiphosura; Limulidae
Description: uncharacterized LOC111086619, transcript variant X2
Source: RNAcentral